This 86-nucleotide transfer RNA is filed under the name Dehalococcoidia bacterium. RNAcentral's name for it is "tRNA-Leu". It matches the Rfam family "tRNA". From Rfam's summary of the family: Transfer RNA (tRNA) molecules are approximately 80 nucleotides in length. Their secondary structure includes four short double-helical elements and three loops (D, anti-codon, and T loops). Further hydrogen bonds mediate the characteristic L-shaped molecular structure. tRNAs have two regions of fundamental functional importance: the anti-codon, which is responsible for specific mRNA codon recognition, and the 3' end, to which the tRNAs corresponding amino acid is attached (by aminoacyl-tRNA synthetases). tRNAs cope with the degeneracy of the genetic code in two manners: having more than one tRNA (with a specific anti-codon) for a particular amino acid; and 'wobble' base-pairing, i.e. permitting non-standard base-pairing at the 3rd anti-codon position. The record is from RNAcentral. Lineage: Bacteria; Bacillati; Chloroflexota; Dehalococcoidia.
GCCGGGGUGGCGGAACGGUAGACGCGGCGGACUUAAAAUCCGCUACCUUAACGGGUGUGUGGGUUCGACUCCCACCUCCGGCACCA